Molecule: ribosomal RNA, 468 nt
Filed under: uncultured bacterium
Lineage: Bacteria
Description: partial 16S ribosomal RNA
Rfam family: Bacterial small subunit ribosomal RNA
Source: RNAcentral
GACGAACGCUGGCGGCGUGCUUAACACAUGCAAGUCGAACGGAAAGGCCCUGCUUUUGUGGGGUGCUCGAGUAGCGAACGGGUGAGUAACACGUGAGUAACCUGCCCUUGACUUUGGGAUAACUUCAGGAAACUGGGGCUAAUACCGGAUAGGAGCUCCUGCUGCAUGGUGGGGGUUGGAAAGUUUCGGCGGUUGGGGAUGGACUCGCGGCUUAUCAGCUUGUUGGUGGGGUAGUGGCUUACCAAGGCUUUGACGGGUAGCCGGCCUGAGAGGGUGACCGGCCACAUUGGGACUGAGAUACGGCCCAGACUCCUACGGGAGGCAGCAGUGGGGAAUAUUGCACAAUGGGCGGAAGCCUGAUGCAGCAACGCCGCGUGCGGGAUGACGGCCUUCGGGUUGUAAACCGCUUUCGCCUGCGACGAAGCGUGAGUGACGGUAAUGGGUAAAGAAGCACCGGCUAACUACGUG